GCCAUUGUGGUGCAGUGGUCAGCACACUCGACGCGUAUUCCAGAGAUCCGUGGUUCGAGUCUCGGCGAGGGCA
This is a non-coding RNA of Stegodyphus mimosarum, 73 nucleotides long. The record is from Rfam. Lineage: Eukaryota; Metazoa; Arthropoda; Arachnida; Araneae; Eresidae.